GCCUCCGUGGCGCAAUUGGCUAGCGCGUUCGGCUGUUAACUGAAAGUUGGAGGUUCGAGCCCUUCCGGGAGUG
This 73-nucleotide transfer RNA is filed under the name Rhipicephalus microplus (southern cattle tick). Its description in RNAcentral is "tRNA-Asn". It matches the Rfam family "tRNA". From Rfam's summary of the family: Transfer RNA (tRNA) molecules are approximately 80 nucleotides in length. Their secondary structure includes four short double-helical elements and three loops (D, anti-codon, and T loops). Further hydrogen bonds mediate the characteristic L-shaped molecular structure. tRNAs have two regions of fundamental functional importance: the anti-codon, which is responsible for specific mRNA codon recognition, and the 3' end, to which the tRNAs corresponding amino acid is attached (by aminoacyl-tRNA synthetases). tRNAs cope with the degeneracy of the genetic code in two manners: having more than one tRNA (with a specific anti-codon) for a particular amino acid; and 'wobble' base-pairing, i.e. permitting non-standard base-pairing at the 3rd anti-codon position. Lineage: Eukaryota; Metazoa; Arthropoda; Arachnida; Ixodida; Ixodidae. The record is from Rfam by way of RNAcentral.